This 556-nucleotide ribosomal RNA is filed under the name Sporobolomyces sp. RNAcentral describes it as "partial 28S ribosomal RNA". It matches the Rfam family "Eukaryotic large subunit ribosomal RNA", at positions 78 to 648 of the family's 3401-position model. Lineage: Eukaryota; Fungi; Basidiomycota; Microbotryomycetes; Sporidiobolales; Sporidiobolaceae. The record is from RNAcentral.
CCCUAGUAGCGGCGAGCGAAGCGGGAAAAGCUCAAAUUUGUAAUCUGGCGUCUACGACGUCCGAGUUGUAAUCUCGAGAAGUGUUUUCCGUGAUAGACCGCAUACAAGUCUCUUGGAACAGAGCGUCAUAGUGGUGAGAACCCAGUACACGAUGCGGAUGCCUAUUACUUUGUGAUACACUUUCGAAGAGUCGAGUUGUUUGGGAAUGCAGCUCAAAUUGGGUGGUAAAUUCCAUCUAAAGCUAAAUAUUGGCGAGAGACCGAUAGCGAACAAGUACCGUGAGGGAAAGAUGAAAAGCACUUUGGAAAGAGAGUUAACAGUACGUGAAAUUGUUGGAAGGGAAACACAUGCAGCCAGACUUGCUAUUCGGGGCAACUCGAUUGGCAGGCCCGCAUCAGUUUUUCGGGGCGGAAAAUCAUAGAGAGAAGGUAGCAAUUUCGGUUGUGUUAUAGCUCUUUAUUGGAUUCGCCCUGGGGGACUGAGGAACGCAGCGUGCUUUUAGCAUAAGCUUCGGCUUAUCCACGCUUAGGAUGCGGGUGUAAUGGCUGUAUAUGAC